UGGGGAAUUUUGGACAAUGGGCGAAAGCCUGAUCCAGCCAUGCCGCGUGAGUGAAGAAGGCCUUCGGGUUGUAAAGCUCUUUUAGUCGGAAAGAAAGAGUUGCAAUGAAUAAUUGUGAUUUAUGACGGUACCGACAGAAAAAGCACCGGCUAACUACGUGCCAGCAGCCGCGGUAAUACGUAGGGUGCGAGCGUUAAUCGGAAUUACUGGGCGUAAAGGGUGCGCAGGCGGUCUUGCAAGUCAGAUGUGAAAGCCCCGAGCUUAACCUGGGAAUUGCGUUUGAAACUACAAGGCUAGAGUGCAGCAGAGGGUAGUGGAAUUCCAUGUGUAGCAGUGAAAUGCGUAGAGAUGUGGAAGAACACCGAUGGCGAAGGCAGCUCCCUGGGUUGACACUGACGCUCAUGCACGAAAGCGUGGGGAGCAAACA
This 427-nucleotide ribosomal RNA is filed under the name uncultured bacterium. Its description in RNAcentral is "bacterial SSU rRNA". It matches the Rfam family "Bacterial small subunit ribosomal RNA", at positions 355 to 774 of the family's 1533-position model. The record is from RNAcentral.